This 374-nucleotide long non-coding RNA is filed under the name Gossypium raimondii (Peruvian cotton). RNAcentral describes it as "long non-coding RNA (GRAI_LNC000416)". The record is from RNAcentral. Lineage: Eukaryota; Viridiplantae; Streptophyta; Magnoliopsida; Malvales; Malvaceae.
UUCGCACUUCAUCGGAUCCAUUUAAAUAUAAUUGUUCAAAUACAUAUACCAAAAGCAUAAUUUUUAUACUUAUCCACUAUAAGUGCCGAAUGCACAUUUACACCUAUACCCACCUAUGCCGAAUGCAUACAUAUAUACACACAUAUAUAUAUAUCCAACAAUUUCAUGACAACCGAUAUAUAUAUAUACAUACUUACUAUUCACAAAGAUUCGAACGAUUAUAUAAUCAUCAACCACCUUGAUACAAUGUUCAUAAACUUAUCCAUUUCAUAUAAACAAAAUCAUAUAUAUUUAUACUCAAUACAUAGAAUCACUUAAUUUAAACAGAUUCAACGGCACUUAGCCUGCUAGGCUUAUAGCCUGAUUCAGAUCAC